UCCAAAGCUUGGCAACGCGAUUAACCAAUCGCCAGCUUCUGACGACGAAGGCACAGGGGAGAAGGAACGCUAUUAGCCAAUCCAAGAAAACAAUUUAUCGGCUGCCGAGAAUGAUGCAACCAAUGCAAUUUCCUCCGGCUGAGGCGUGGGCGAAGACUACGGUUGAUUGGUAGAGCGUGCUCCUAUCGCAGAGGCUGUUAUUCCUUGGGUCUCCCGGCUGAGGGGAGGAGCCGAGCGAGCGGCGGGUGUCCCUGAGAGGCCACCUUUCGACCUUCGAGGGCCAGGAGGAUACGGGGAGGUGGCCGGAGGGAGUUCCCGAACACAGGUCUUCCUGUUCCCGCCGAGCAGGUGUUGGCGGUGCCAGGCCCGGCCUGGCGGGCCCGGGCUGGCAGCCAAAUACCCAGCGUCUGUGCUCGGGACGGGAGUGUUCGUCCAGGACGUGCAGCUCCGGAGCCUGCGCGGGCGACCUUGACCACCUUUGUCGGCUGUUUCCCCCUGAGGGAAGUAUACCUGUCCUGCCAGCCUUGGUCUCUGGCAGGGAAGGUCCUUCCAACAGAGAGGGGUGCGCACGAAUUCCUUUUUGCCGCUCUUCUAUUAAUAGUUUGAGAUUUUCCUCCCCGAUUCCUUGCAGAGAGGGCCUGGUCCUCAAGGACCUCGGGAUCUGGGCGCGACGUCCCUUCCCAGCUUCCUCCCGCGCGCACCGGACCAGAUCUUGCUGUCGUCAGCUGGCUGGUACCCAAAGUUCCUCUUCGUCAGGCUGUUCCUUCCCCGUUAGAGUCCUUCCUCCCCAGGAGCCCUCUCCAUCUGCUGACCUUCAAGACCCAGAGCGAAUGCCACUUCAUCCAUGAAGCCUUCCCUUAACCCUUAUCUGGCCAAAAUGUCUCUUUCCUGUGCUUCUGUACUUUCACAAUUUUAGAAAAUGCCUUUGUGGUUAAAAACCUAUCUCCGGGACCGGACUAUCUAGGUUUAGAUUCUGGCUGCCGCUUACGAAUUUGGGCAGGUUUAGUCAAGUUAUUUUAACCUCUCUGUGGAAGUUCCUGCUCUGUGGAAAUAAUAGUAUUUUCCUCAGAGUUGGUGUGGGGAGUUUGUGAGUUAAUACAUUUACGAAGUGGUUAGUUGCAUGUAAGAAGGACUCUCUAAAUGUCAGCUAUUAUUAACAUUGCAUAUCUGCCACACCCUUCAUAGAUGGUAAACUGCUUUUUUUUUUUUUUUUACUUUUAUUUUAGGUUCGGGAUACAUGCACAGAAUUGCUUAGAAUUGACUCAACACUGCCUCCUUGCUGAAUGGAUAAUUCAAGCAAACAACUCAAGAGCUGGAUGCUGCCCAGACAGAAGUCCUCCUAGCAUCUUUCUUCUGCCUUCCCCUGCUCCUGUCCCUGAAACCUUUUCUUCAAAAGAAGUGGAAAAGAGGAACUGGGAACCCAUAUAGCAACAGCAUCACCUGGAAUGAAUUCCUUUAGAACAUACUGUCUUGGAAAUCUGAAGCCUGCAGGGCUGGACAGGCAAGAAGAGCAGUGAGCACUGCAUGAACCUGUAAGUAAAUCUGCAUGUGGAUGGUGUUUUGGGUUUUUUUCAGACAGAGCCUUACUCUGUUGCAUAGGCUGGAGUGCAGUGGCACGAUCUUGGCUCACUGCAACCUCUGCCUCCUGGGCUCAGGUGAUUGUCCCACCUCAACCUCUCAAGUAGCUGGGACCACAGGUGUGCACCAACAUGCGCAGCUAAUUUUUGUAGAGAUGGGGUUUCGCCGUGUUGGCCAAGCUGGUCUCGAACUCCUGGGCCAAGCAAUCGGCCUCCCAAAGUGUUGAGAUUACAGGCGUGAGCUACUGCACCAGGCCACACAUGCUUAUUUUACUCAGUCUUGCCCCUGAAUACCCGAAGGUCUAAACUUAGGAAAAAGUCAGGGGAGGGAUGAGUUUGUCAUUCUUUGGAGUCGUUAUAUUUGGGUGAGUGCUGGCACUAUGGGUAGGAUAUUAUUUAGAAGCUGAGUUGUGUGCUGAGCAAAUGUUUCUUUAAAAACCAAAGCCGUAUGAGAUCUGUUAUAGAGGCACAGUGUGGCUAAAUAGUGUGCGAUAAGAUAAGCAUAGGGCUCCUGAGGUGUUGCUGUUCUCCCACUGUAAUGAGUUUACUCUUCUUCCUAAGGAAAGUGAUCCUUUAUCACCUCUCCUCUCAAAUUCACUGGCUUGUUUCGUGAGUGUGCCUUCAUGGAAUCAUGUCUCCUUCUCUUCCCUCAGUUCUCUCCUUCCCUCCCUUACGUAUGACUCCUCCCAUAAUCCGCACACAUGGAUUGAACCAAGUGAGGGUAUUUUUCUGUUUCCUACCUCAUAGAAGGGCAUAGAGUGGACACGGUCUAAGGUUAGUUCCUGAACUGAGUACCCACAUAUGCAGAACUUUAUUUAAAGCUGCUGAAAUCUUUGUAUAACAGAUAGAUCAAUAGGACUGAAAACUACUGAUGGUUUUACUUACUUGUUGAACGUGACUAAGUUCCAUGGCACCAUUUAGAAAUUGUGUUGUAUAGUUUUCGUAUGUUGCUUAAGAAACAGUUUAGCAUAAUGGUUAAAAGCAUGGCCUCUGGAACUAGAUUGCCUCUGUAUGCCUCAGUUUCCUCAUCUGGGAAUAAUAAUAGUUCUACCUCAUGGGAUUGCUAUGAGGAUUAAAUGAUUUAAUUUAAUUAAAUGAUUUCAUACAAAACUGAAUUGUACUUGACACUUAGUACUCAGGUAUUAACUGGGACCGUUAUUAUCAUCACAGAUGUUGUUUACAAGCACUUGCCUUUGAGAUUUGUUUAGCUUUUUUAUUAAAUUACUAGCGGUAUACUAGAACAGUACGUAGGCUGGGGCCUGGAGUCAAAUUCUAGCUUUGCCUCUUAUAGUUUUGAAACUUUGAGUAAAUUACUUGAUGUGUCUGAGUUUUAAUAUUCUUAUAUGUAAUUUACUUUUAAAAAGAAUUUUGCUUAGUGUUGAUAUACACACAUUUAACACAGUUAUAGAAAUUAUUGUUUUUACUAUUGUCAUAUGAGGAAAUUCGUCCCUGGGUUGCUGUAGGGUGCUAAUGGUUAGGCAAACUCUCUUUGAAGUCUGCCUGAUCUGGCCCCUUGCAGGCAUGUACUCCGAAAUAUUUUUCAAAUGGAAAAGAAAACAGAGAACACAAUUUUCAAAAUAUCUAGAGCCCUCCAAGAAGUCUUUGUAGAGAUCUAUAAAAUCUCAAGGCAAUUUAAAGGUAAUAAGACAACUUUAUUAAUAAUUAAUUAAAAUGUAAAUGUUAAUGAUAGCCCUUUGUAUAGCUAUAUUAUCUUUUUCUGAAGAAUAGAAAAAUGUUUUAGAAACACUAUUCUCUCCACAUCCUGGGGCAGCAGCCUUCUCCAAAGAAACAGAAAGAAGGAAAUGGAUUGCCUUAGCAAAAAAACAAAUGAAGACACUCCAAAUAACAGAAGAAUGGGAAGGCUACAGACCUUGAAGUCAGAAGAAAAUUUCCUCUCCUUGCCCCGUUUCUCCUUAAAUGGAUCACCAGUACAGUCUCUUACUUCUAGAGCCAUGUUAAGCUUUCUUCCCCAAAGUUGUAAUGUCCUUCUUUUGGUUGUGUCGUGUCCUAAAAUCCUACUCUUUGGUACAAGAUGAAGGUAUAUGAAGAGAUAAUGAAGGAAACAAAUUCAAUGUGUUUGCCAAGAACACAGUCUUUUAAAUAACUCUUAAAGGGUUCGUUUAAAACAGUGUAAUAAAUUGUGGUAAUCUAGUACACAAAGCUAGUAGGAACCUCGUUUAUUAAUAAUAUUUCAACAUUGAGCAGUAGAGGGCAGCACUAUCCUUCUUUUGCAAAAUGUUGAGCACUCUUGAGAAGGAAAAUAAAGGCAAAGCUCCUGACCCCUGUGUCUGUGUUUACUUUUACCAUUAAAAAAAAACAAAAAAUUGGAGUAUUUUUAUUAUGGUUUAGGUGAUUAUGUAUAAAGAAUGUCAGAGCCUGCAUUACCUGGAAGUGGUGCACCAGGUAAUGCAAAAAACACGGAAGGUUUGAGGUCCCCCACUCAGGAUAUGGGUUCUGUCUAGUAAAGAUAAACAGUAGCUUGACCCUGGGUAAUCAGAUAGGGUUAUUGUAUGAACAGACCUAAUGCUCCUGCACGUUCUGGAUAGAAGUCAAUCUACUGAAAUAGCAGGAUGUAGUUUUAAAAAAUGUGUGUAACUCAUAUAGUCUUAGCCCUGAUAAGUGCUUCUAAAUUCUUAUUCACUGCCUUUAUUCUGCUGUGUUAGUGUUGCUCUCUGUCAUACGUGGGUCAGGUCAGAACUAGCUCAAAUACAGUAUGUGUAUUAUGACUUUAAGGAGUGGUGUCAGACAAGAUGGGUAAAGAAUGUCUUUCAUGGGACUGCAGUUGGCUAAAUGGCUGUGUAUAAGUAGUGAAAUUGAAGCCUUGUAUGCUCGUCGUCAUUCUAUCACAGUAUGAUUUGAGUUUCCCUAACCGGUAAACAGCAAGAAAAAAUGAUCUGUUAUUUUUUACUAAAGUUACUUGAUGCUCUUUAGCAAGCUGACAGAAUAAUUCUAAUUUUAGCAAAUACAAAACCAUGGUAAUCCUAGCACAUUUGGAUUCUGUUUAACCCUGAAAACUCUUUUGGCAGCAAAUCUUCAAUGCCAAUUUAGAUAAAUCCCACUAGGAAUAAGCACUGAAAGACGUUGAGUCUAGUUCCCAGCUCUGCCAUGUGAAGUUGGGCAAAUUACAGUCUCUGAGCUUUUAUUUCAUCUGUUAAAUGGAGAUAAUACCUCCUAGAUUUAUUAAAAGGGUCAAUUUAGAAAAUAUGUAUUAAAAUGGUUUGAAAGCCAUUUAAGUACCUAAUGAAUAUUUCUAUCACUGUAGCCCAAAAAGAUUCCUGCCUAGAAGACUUUAUGUCUCUUCUCCUCAUUUGGUAUCAUUCUAUUGCCUGAGAUUGUUAAUUAACUUUUAUGUAUACUCAAUAUUUUCUCCCAACUUGGUUGCUAGUUCCUUGAGAACUGAAACCAUCAAUUGCACUUCUUGGUAUCCUCCACAAUAAGGUAUCUAGGUACUCAAAUAUUUGUUGGUUGAUUAAAAACAUAAACCACAAGACAUAAUUAACUCUUUUUAAAAUUGUGGUAAAAAAACAUGUAUUUACCAUCUUAAUCAUUUUUAAGUAUACUGUAUAUUAGUGUUUACUAUAUGCACAUUGUUGUGCAACACAUCUCUAGGACUUUUUCAUCCAGAAUUCUUUUUUUUUGAGACAGAGUCUUGCUGUGUCGCCCAAGCUGGAGUUCAGUGGCACCAUCCUGGCUCACUGCAACUGCUGCCUCCCAGGUUCAAGUGAUUCUCCUGCCUCAGCCUCCCGAGUAGCUGGGAUUACAUGUGCCUGCCACCACGCCUGGCAAGUUUUUGUAUUUUUAGUAGAAAUGGUGUUUUACCAUGUUGGCCAAGACUGGCCUAGAACUCCAGACCUCAAGUGAUCCACCCGCCUCAGCAGCCCAAAGUGGUGGGAUUACAGGCAUGAGCAACUGUGCCUGGCCUAGCCAUUUUCUAUAAACCUGAAAAUAGAUGCCAGAAAAGAAGGUGCCGCUAUAAAAUGCUUUCUUGAGUGAUUUAUGUCUAACAUACAAUUAAACAUUUAUGAGAAGGAAAUUAUCAGGUUAAAAUAUAAACUCACUUGCCAAUUAUUUGAUUUUCAGGAUAUCUGACUUUUGUUAAUUACUGAAAAUAAAGUAUUAUUUCUAAUCACUA
Molecule: long non-coding RNA, 5709 nt
Filed under: Homo sapiens (human)
Lineage: Eukaryota; Metazoa; Chordata; Mammalia; Primates; Hominidae
Description: HSALNT0359507
Source: RNAcentral